Non-coding RNA from Bombina bombina (fire-bellied toad), 356 nucleotides. RefSeq annotates it as small Cajal body-specific RNA 2. The transcript has a single exon. Lineage: Eukaryota; Metazoa; Chordata; Amphibia; Anura; Bombinatoridae. The record is from RefSeq and is a predicted model, not a curated record.
AUGCACUUCACGGACAGCUAUAUAAGUAGAAAGUGAGGGCGGAAGGAUUUAGAUAGAGUGCGGCAGUGGUGUGUGAGUAAGUGAAUGUCUGUGUGGCUGGUGAGUGUAUGUUUGUGUGUAUGCGCCGCUGUCGCCUCUGUAUUACACAUUAAUCAUCCUUAUUUGAUUCCCCCGGGAUGCAGCCUGUCCCGUGGUGGGAGAUGAUAAUAAACCUCUCGCUAACCCUUCCUCGGGUUGUGUGCAUUGAGCUCAGGUCUACAGGCUUUUCUGGGAUAUGAUGAAUUCAUCAGAUAUACUAGGCCGGGGUUUCCUUUUGGGACCUCUGCUCUAUGAGUAUAUAAGCGAUUCUGAUCCCA